RNAcentral lists this ribosomal RNA (549 nucleotides) under uncultured bacterium. Its description in RNAcentral is "bacterial SSU rRNA". It matches the Rfam family "Bacterial small subunit ribosomal RNA", at positions 355 to 896 of the family's 1533-position model. The record is from RNAcentral.
UAGGGAAUCUUCGGCAAUGGACGGAAGUCUGACCGAGCAACGCCGCGUGAGUGAAGAAGGUUUUCGGAUCGUAAAGCUCUGUUGUAAGAGAAGAACGAGUGUGAGAGUGGAAAGUUCACACUGUGACGGUAACUUACCAGAAAGGGACGGCUAACUACGUGCCAGCAGCCGCGGUAAUACGUAGGUCCCGAGCGUUAUCCGGAUUUAUUGGGCGUAAAGCGAGCGCAGGCGGUUAGAUAAGUCUGAAGUUAAAGGCUGUGGCUUAACCAUAGUACGCUUUGGAAACUGUUUAACUUGAGUGCAGAAGGGGAGAGUGGAAUUCCAUGUGUAGCGGUGAAAUGCGUAGAUAUAUGGAGGAACACCGGUGGCGAAAGCGGCUCUCUGGUCUGUAACUGACGCUGAGGCUCAAAAGCGUGGGGAGCAAACAGGAUUAGAUACCCUGGUAGUCCACGCCGUAACGAUGAGUGCUAGGUGUUGGAUCCUUUCCGGGAUUCAGUGCCGCAGCUAACGCAUUAAGCACUCCGCCUGGGGAGUACGACCGCAAGGUUG